Molecule: ribosomal RNA, 456 nt
Filed under: Escherichia albertii
Lineage: Bacteria; Pseudomonadati; Pseudomonadota; Gammaproteobacteria; Enterobacterales; Enterobacteriaceae
Description: partial 23S ribosomal RNA
Rfam family: Bacterial large subunit ribosomal RNA
Source: RNAcentral
CGAAUGCUGACAUAAGUAACGAUAAAGCGGGUGAAAAGCCCGCUCGCCGGAAGACCAAGGGUUCCUGUCCAACGUUAAUCGGGGCAGGGUGAGUCGACCCCUAAGGCGAGGCCGAAAGGCGUAGUCGAUGGGAAACAGGUUAAUAUUCCUGUACUUGGUGUUACUGCGAAGGGGGGACGGAGAAGGCUAUGUUGGCCGGGCGACGGUUGUCCCGGUUUAAGCGUGUAGGCUGGUUUUCCAGGCAAAUCCGGAGAAUCAAGGCUGAGGCGUGAUGACGAGGCACUACGGUGCUGAAGCAACAAAUGCCCUGCUUCCAGGAAAAGCCUCUAAGCAUCAGGUAACAUCAAAUCGUACCCCAAACCGACACAGGUGGUCAGGUAGAGAAUACCAAGGCGCUUGAGAGAACUCGGGUGAAGGAACUAGGCAAAAUGGUGCCGUAACUUCGGGAGAAGGCAC